This 479-nucleotide ribosomal RNA is filed under the name uncultured bacterium. RNAcentral describes it as "partial 16S ribosomal RNA". It matches the Rfam family "Bacterial small subunit ribosomal RNA", at positions 28 to 507 of the family's 1533-position model. The record is from RNAcentral.
GAUGAACGCUGGCGGCGUGCCUAACACAUGCAAGUCGAGCGAACCACUUUGGAAAGAUUCUUCGGAUGAUUUCCUUUGUGACUGAGCGGCGGACGGGUGAGUAAUGCCUGGGUAACCUGCCUCACACCGGGGGAUAACAGUUAGAAAUGACUGCUAAUACCGCAUACGACCACCGUACCGCAUGGUCCAUUGGUCAAACCUCCGGUGGUAUGAGAUGGAACCGUGUCUGAUUAGGUAGUUGGUGGGGUAACGGCCUACCCAGCCGACGAUCAGUAGCCGAGCUGAGAGGGUGAGCGGCCACAUUGGGACUGAGACACGGCCCAGACUCUUACGCGAUGGAGCAGAGGGGAAUAUUGCACAAUGGAGGAAACGCUGAUGCAGCGACGCCGCGAGAAGGAUGAAGUAUUUCGGUAUGUAAACUGCUAGUAGCAAGGAAGAAAAUGACGGUACCUGACGAGGAAGCCCCGGCUAACUACGUG